AGCGAACGCUGGCGGCAGGCCUAACACAUGCAAGUCGAACGAACCUUUCGGGGUUAGUGGCGGACGGGUGAGUAACACGUGGGAACGUGCCUUUAGGUUCGGAAUAACUCAGGGAAACUUGUGCUAAUACCGAAUGUGCCCUUCGGGGGAAAGAUUAAUCGCCUUUAGAGCGGCCCGCGUCUGAUUAGCUAGUUGGUUGAGGUAAUGGCUCACCAAGGCUACGAUCAGUAGCUGGUCUGAGAGGAUGAUCAGCCACAUUGGGACUGAGACACGGCCCAAACUCCUACGGGAGGCAGCAGUGGGGAAUCUUGCGCAAUGGGCGAAAGCCUGACGCAGCCAUGCCGCGUGAAUGAUGAAGGUCUUAGGAUUGUAAAAUUCUUUCACCGGGGACGAUAAUGACGGUACCCGGAGAAGAAGCCCCGGCUAACUUCGUG
Molecule: ribosomal RNA, 434 nt
Filed under: uncultured bacterium
Lineage: Bacteria
Description: partial 16S ribosomal RNA
Rfam family: Bacterial small subunit ribosomal RNA
Source: RNAcentral